This is a non-coding RNA of Triticum urartu, 311 nucleotides long. NCBI's taxonomy places the organism in Eukaryota, Viridiplantae, Streptophyta, Magnoliopsida, Poales, Poaceae. The record is from Rfam.
GAAGCUCAGGAAAAAGAUAUCGUCAGGAUGAUGAUAAGCCAUGAGGCAGGAACGUAACGGAGCUUACGGCACACGGAAGGUUUCAGGAUGAAACAGGAUCGCUCAGGAUUGAGCAAGGGACACCUCCAGGAUGGAGAAUGAGAACCCCCUCAGAAGAGGUGGUGGGCCAGGAUGCUAAGGAUACAUCAGGACGAUGCGCGACAGGAGUUCGCACUGGACAAGUUGUCAUGGAAGAGCAGGGAGCAUUAACGUGGCGGGAUGGCUGCAAACGAACCGGGAGCACUGUUUAUACAGUGCUCCCUUUUUUUGUG